UGGGGAAUAUUGCACAAUGGGCGCAAGCCUGAUGCAGCCAUGCCGCGUGUAUGAAGAAGGCCUUCGGGUUGUAAAGUACUUUCAGCGGGGAGGAAGGGAGUAAAGUUAAUACCUUUGCUCAUUGACGUUACCCGCAGAAGAAGCACCGGCUAACUCCGUGCCAGCAGCCGCGGUAAUACGGAGGGUGCAAGCGUUAAUCGGAAUUACUGGGCGUAAAGCGCACGCAGGCGGUUUGUUAAGUCAGAUGUGAAAUCCCCGGGCUCAACCUGGGAACUGCAUUCGAAACUGGCAGGCUAGAGUCUUGUAGAGGGGGGUAGAAUUCCAGGUGUAGCAGUGAAAUGCGUAGAGAUCUGGAGGAAUACCGGUGGCGAAGGCGGCCCCCUGGACAAAGACUGACGCUCAGGUGCGAAAGCGUGGGGAGCAAACAGG
This 429-nucleotide ribosomal RNA is filed under the name Chloroflexota bacterium. RNAcentral describes it as "Chloroflexi bacterium partial 16S ribosomal RNA". It matches the Rfam family "Bacterial small subunit ribosomal RNA", at positions 355 to 776 of the family's 1533-position model. The record is from RNAcentral. Lineage: Bacteria; Bacillati; Chloroflexota.